Non-coding RNA from Schistocerca serialis cubense, 73 nucleotides. The record is from the annotation of a RefSeq genome assembly. Lineage: Eukaryota; Metazoa; Arthropoda; Insecta; Orthoptera; Acrididae.
GGCCGGAUGGCUUAGUGGUCAGAGCGUCUGCCUAGUAAGCAGGAGACCCGAGUUCGCAUCCCGGUCCGACACA